CUUUUGCUGUUGCUCUGCAAAGAUUUGCAGCUGGCGUUGAAAGUUUUGUCGACGGGUUUUGUCAUCAUAAAUUUUAAUAUUUUUUUCAUUCCUUUGCUUGUCUGUUUUUUUUUUUCGUUUGUUUGUACGUUUUUUCGUUGUCUUUUCGGACGCUUGCAGUACAAUGAAAGCCUUUUUCCUUUUUGCAACCCAGAAAUGUGAAAAUGAGCACGUUAAUAGUGGAAAAUGCAGUUGAGACCGCAGCCAAAGCCACAGCCAAAGAAGUCGGCUGAAGGCGCAAGGCUUGCGGCACCAAAGUGGCAAAAUGUGCGUCACACGCGGCGUAUGCGCAAUGCAACAGUACGAGCAAAGAAACUGUUCAGGGAAAAGAGAGAGAAGAGGAAGAGGAAGAGGAGAAGAGAUGAAUCCAGACGAGACGAGUGCUGAAUGCAUGCUGAUGAGCGAGCAUUCGAAUGGAAUAUGAAUGACACAAAUUCAAAUGCAAAUGCAAAUGCAAAAUCCGAAGUGCAACAGCAACAAGAAUAACAACCACAAUAAGGAAAAAAUUCACUUGAAAAUUGCCAAAAAUUUGCUGUCAAGCGAUUAAGUUUGAAACUGGGAUUUAUUUCUUCAAAACGAAUAUUUUAUUUUGCGUGCAAGAUUGAUACAAAUACAAACACAAAAAUGUAUGUGUGUGUGAGUG
This is a long non-coding RNA of Drosophila albomicans, 682 nucleotides long. RefSeq lists it as uncharacterized. The transcript is spliced from 2 exons. The record is from RefSeq and is a predicted model, not a curated record. NCBI's taxonomy places the organism in Eukaryota, Metazoa, Arthropoda, Insecta, Diptera, Drosophilidae.